AAAUUGAAGAGUUUGAUCAUGGCUCAGAUUGAACGCUGGCGGCAGGCCUAACACAUGCAAGUCGAACGGUAACAGGAAGCAGCUUGCUGCUUUGCUGACGAGUGGCGGACGGGUGAGUAAUGUCUGGGAAACUGCCUGAUGGAGGGGGAUAACUACUGGAAACGGUGGCUAAUACCGCAUAACGUCGCAAGACCAAAGAGGGGGACCUUCGGGCCUCUUGCCAUCAGAUGUGCCCAGAUGGGAUUAGCUUGUUGGUGAGGUAACGGCUCACCAAGGCGACGAUCCCUAGCUGGUCUGAGAGGAUGACCAGCCACACUGGAACUGAGACACGGUCCAGACUCCUACGGGAGGCAGCAGUGGGGAAUAUUGCACAAUGGGCGCAAGCCUGAUGCAGCCAUGCC
Molecule: ribosomal RNA, 401 nt
Filed under: Salmonella enterica
Lineage: Bacteria; Pseudomonadati; Pseudomonadota; Gammaproteobacteria; Enterobacterales; Enterobacteriaceae
Also listed under: 2 other names
Description: bacterial SSU rRNA
Rfam family: Bacterial small subunit ribosomal RNA
Source: RNAcentral